AGAAACUUGCUUGAACUCAUGUGUUUUCAAUAAAUUGUGUGAAUAAGAGAGUUGAGGUUGGUUUUAACAGUUUUCUAACAAAUUCCCCUUGUUUUGACAGAAAUUGAAGCAAUACUAGAAGAAGAAGUGAAAAGCCAAGAAGAUGGAGCUCAAAAGGGGUCAAAAAGGCACCAAGAAAGGAGAAAACCCAAAACCCAGGCGAUAGGAACGAAAAACAACGCAUCCAGGAUCAACGCUGGUCACUUGGGAGACAGCCCCGACACCCGGGCGACGGACCCCCGAAGCUUAGGCAUCCAAAACUGGCGUCCAAGCCUCACAUGAACCUCAAUUCACGCUUAGGCGAGCUCCCUGCGACGCUUGAGCGUGAUUUCACGUGGAUCGGGCCCUGAUUAUGCUCUGGUUUGAUUCUUUUGGACCGGGCCACACUUUGGGAUGCGUCUGGCACUAUUUAAAGGACCCUGGGG
Molecule: long non-coding RNA, 464 nt
Filed under: Vigna radiata
Lineage: Eukaryota; Viridiplantae; Streptophyta; Magnoliopsida; Fabales; Fabaceae
Description: long non-coding RNA (VRAD_LNC015276)
Source: RNAcentral